UGGGGAAUAUUGCACAAUGGGCGCAAGCCUGAUGCAGCCAUGCCGCGUGUAUGAAGAAGGCCUUCGGGUUGUAAAGUACUUUCAGCGGGGAGGAAGGGAGUAAAGUUAAUACCUUUGCUCAUUGACGUUACCCGCAGAAGAAGCACCGGCUAACUCCGUGCCAGCAGCCGCGGUAAUACGGAGGGUGCAAGCGUUAAUCGGAAUUACUGGGCGUAAAGCGCACGCAGGCGGUUUGUUAAGUCAGAUGUGAAAUCCCCGGGCUCAACCUGGGAACUGCAUCUGAUACUGGCAAGCUUGAGUCUCGUAGAGGGGGGUAGAAUUCCAGGUGUAGCGGUGAAAUGCGUAGAGAUCUGGAGGAAUACCGGUGGCGAAGGCGGCCCCCUGGACGAAGACUGACGCUCAGGUGCGAGAGCGUGGGGAGCAAACAGG
This 429-nucleotide ribosomal RNA is filed under the name Chloroflexota bacterium. RNAcentral's name for it is "Chloroflexi bacterium partial 16S ribosomal RNA". It matches the Rfam family "Bacterial small subunit ribosomal RNA", at positions 355 to 776 of the family's 1533-position model. The record is from RNAcentral. Lineage: Bacteria; Bacillati; Chloroflexota.